UUCUCCCAGUUGGGCUUCUCCCUGUAUCUUGGUCAGUAAACCGGAUGGAACAAACCGUUUUUGUACGGACUACCGUAAGGUAAACAGUGUCACAAAGCCAGAUUCAUUUCCUCUUCCUCGGAUGGAGGACUGUGUUGAUCAAGUCGGUGCAGCUAAGUUUGUGAGCAAAUUUGACCUGUUAAAAGGCUAUUGGCAGGUGCCACUGACGAGUAGGGCACGUGAAAUCUCUGCCUUUAUUACACCCUUUGGUCUGUACUCGUAUUCAGUUAUGAGUUUCGGUCUGCGCAAUGCACCUGCCACUUUUCAGCGACUUAUGAACAGGGUUGUCGCCGGUCUGACCGGGUGCGCUGUUUAUUUGGACGAUGUAGUGAUCUAUGCAGAUACUUGGGAAGAACAUCUGUCCCGUAUUCAAGCCUUGUUCGAACGUCUGGCUGCGGGUCGCCUCACAAUCAAUCUGGCAAAAUGUGAGUUUGCUCAGGCGACCGUUACAUACCUUGGAAAAAUGGUUGGGCAGGGUGAAGUGCGUCCUGUUCGGGCUAAAGUGGUGGCUAUUGAUGCUUUUCCACCACCAACUACUAAAAAGGAACUGAUGCGUUUCUUGGGCAUGAUUGGUUAUUACCGUAGUUUUGUAAUAACUUCUCUACUGUGGUCGCUCCCUUGACAGAUAUGCUGAAAGCUAAGGCUGUUUAUGUUUGGUCUACUCGUUGUCAACACGCUUUUGAAGAUGCAAAGAGGUUGCUUACCUCAACUCCAGUGCUGGCUGCUCCUCGCAUGGAUUUGUCAUUUACCUUGCAGGUGGAUGCUAGUCAUGUGGGGGCAGGUGCAGUUUUGCUGCAAGCAGAUGUGUCUGGGAUUGAGAGGCCUGUUAGUUUCUUUUCCAAAAAGUUUAUUAUUGAAAAGGAAGCGCUAGCACUAAUUUGGGCGCUACAACACUUCGAAGUGUAUGUCGGGUCGGGGGUAGUACCUAUUGUGGUCUACACCGACCAUAACCCCCUCACUUUUUUGAGGUCCAUGAUGUGUCCAAACCAGAGGAUAAUGCGAUGGUGUUUAUUUUUACAAUCAUUCCAUCUCGAUGUGAGGCACAUCCGGGGGACUGAAAACGUGAUUGCUGAUGCGCUCUCUCGUGCGCCCUGUUCCUAAUGUUUACGUGACUGACCAUUGUUUCGUAUUGUCAUGUUCUCUCUGUCCUGUCUGCUCCCCCCUGGUCUUGUUUUCUUCUUUCCUCUUAAAUGUUGCUUCCUGUGCGAAGGUCGCUGAGGUCUGGGGAGGAGGUUGGCUGGGGCAAAUUGUAAGUGUGAACACGUAAACCCUCAUCAAUUUGUGGUGCAGAAGCUGUGUCAAUUUGGAACUUAGAGGCUGGUAUUUUGUUCCGGGGUCCUUGUUGGUCCCCGGUUUUAUGGGGGGGGGGAUGUGACGACCCUCCCACUCUGUCUGCCGUAUUCUCUCUGUUAUUUCCUUAUUAGGAUGCUGGUGGGCGGAGUUGGGAGGGUCGUCAGCUACAUGGGAAACACCUGGGCCCGGUGUCUCCCAGGAUAAAUACACCACUUCCCCAUUCAUGGAGGAGACUCUCUCCAUGCAGACACCCUUUGUAGAUUGUGUUGUGGUUCUUGGUGGCCGUUUGUUUGUUUGUUUGCUUUGGCACCUUUCAUCACCCUGCAUUAUCACAUUCAUGCAUGCAAAACACUCACUUACACUACUGAUUACUGAUUACACACACCAUUGUAUAUUAUACUUAGUUGCUUUAGUUAAUAAAUACAUAUUUUGCUACUCCUUAUCUCCACGUUGUCUCCCUUUGUUACGGGCUUUGAGCCGGUUCGUGACACUGUCAUCUGAUUCCAUAUCGGUGGCACACACAUCCAGAACUGAACCCCUGAGGGAAAUAGUGCGUGAUGCUGGACCCAGGAACCUCCAUUCUCCCCUGGCCUGGACGCCUGAAGCCUCAACAGCUUUUGCACUCCUGAAAACGGAUCUAUCAGCGGCAGCAGCUCUGACUGCACCUGACUACAAGAACAAGUUCCAUUUGGAUGUUUCUGAAAAGGAAGGAUUCACCUCGUCCGUCCUAUUCCAGAAACAAGAGGGGGAGAGAAGGGUAUUGAUGUACCACUCCUCCAAACUCGACCACAUUGAGGUAGGACAGACAACAUGCUCCAGAUACGUUGCUGCAGUAGCAAAAGCUAUUGAAAAAACAGCCCCCCUCGUGAUGUGUCAUCCAUUAGAGAUCCACACCCAUCAUGGCGUUGCUGCGUAUCUGAUGAGUAAAGAAUUCACUUUCAGUGCUGAAAGAAAAACCAAGAUCCAGAACAAUUGCACUCGUCACAUAUCACGUUUGUUAACACCGACAAAAAUAUGGCAGAUGCACUCAACGCAGAAGGACUGCCCCACUCUUGUGCUGAAAGAGCGGCACAAGAACUAAAACUGAGACCAGACCUGAAGAAUGAACCACUGACCAAUCCCGACCAAUGGCUGUACACUGAUGGCUGCUGCUACAAAGGAGAAGAAGGAAACAUAGCAGCCUAUGCGGUGGUGCAGCAACUCCCAGACGGCUCACACGUCACCCUUGAAUCAGCCAUCAUCCCUCAACCAGCAUCUGCCCAAUUAGCUGAAAUCAUCGGAUUGACGCAGGCCCUCAUCAGAGGAAAAGGAAAGACUGUGAAUAUCUAUACAGACUCAGCCUGUGCCCAUGGAGCAGUCCACACUGAUGGACCCAGAACUUUUACGAGAAGCACAUGGCCCCACACACGAAGGCAAACGAAAGACCCUUCAAAAGGUCUCGCACAUCUGGUGGCACCCUCACAUGAAAGAAAUGACUGACUUAUUUUGUGACGAAUGCAACAUAUGUGGCAGCCACAACCCAAAGAAACCAUAUCAAACACCAAUGGGCUCAUACCCAGUACCUAAUGCAUGUUUUCAGGACAUUAGUAUAGACUACACCGACAUGGGCCCCGACAAUGUAUCUAAAGGCAAACGCUAUCUCCUAGUUAUGGUAGAUAGGUUCUCCAAAUGGGUAGAGGCAAUACCAACAGCAAAGGAGGAUGCUAGGUCAGUCGUUAAGUGACUACAAACCAAACUAAUACCCAGGUAUGGCAUCUAAAGACAAAUCAGAUCUGAAAAUGGCUCACAUUUUAGUAACAAACACCUAAGACAGGUGGAAGAAAGAUUUGGCAUAACACACAGAUUCGGUUCUGUGUACCACCCCCCGGUCCCAAGGUCUGGUGGAACGCCAAACCAAACGCUGGAAGCUAAGAUAGCUAAAGCAUGUGCAGGUUCGAAGUUGACAUGGGUUGAAGCCCUGCCUCUGGCGUUGAUGGCCAUGAGAGCCUCACCAGGAGCAGGCACCCAUCUCUCUCCUCAUGAGAUAAUGACUGGAAGAGUCAUGCCUGGUCCACCAAGGGAGGGAGGUCAUAUGCCCGCUCUUGAUGUACAACAAAUUGUAAUGUCUGAUUAUGUGAAAAAACUGACGGUUCUCUCUGCAGCACUCUCUACCCAGGUUCACAAGAUCCAGGAGGGGGAGCUGCCGGGGGACACGCCACCACUGAAGGUAACGGUUGGUGACUGGGUGAGGGUUAAAGUCCACAAGAGAAAGUGGCUGGAACCCAGGUGGACUGGACCGUACGAAGUGAAGGAGGUUACUUCACACUCAGUCCAGGUCAAAGGCGUCCAGGACCUGCUUUCUCGUAUUAAAUCUCCAGGCCCUGUCAGGAUGUCAUCCAGGCCCAAGAGAGCAGUGGGAUCAAUGACAGGGGAUCUCACCUAUAUUGAUGCCAUUGGGGUUCCCAGAGGGGUACCAGAUGAGUAUAAACUUGUUGACCAAGUGGCUGCAGGCUUUGAAUAAUCUAUUUGUUGGUGGUGUACAGUUAACAAAAAUGUAGAUCGUAUUAACUACAUUCAUUUCAAUGUCCAAAAACUAGGCAAUUGGACUCAGCAAGGAUUCGAGGCCGUACAUGGACAACUGGCAGCAACAUCAUUGAUGGCUUUUCAAAAUAGAAUUGCUGUUGACAUGUUAUUGGCGGAACGCGGUGGCGUUUGUGCCAUGUUUGGGGAACAAUGUUGUACUUUCAUUCCCAAUAACACAGCAACUGAUGGUAGUCUUACCGUUGCCCUAGAGGGUCUUCGCACACUUAAUGGUAAGAUGAAGCACCACUCCGGAGUUGACACCUCUAUGUGGGACUCCUGGAUGGAUGCGUUUGGUAACUAUAAGACCCUGAUCUCCUCUGUCCUAGUGUCCGUAGCUGUUUUUGUGGCUAUCCUAACCCUGUGCGGUUGUUGCUGUAUUUCUUGCGCUCACACAUUAGCCACUAUAGUGAUCACCACUGCCAUUACCCCAUUGCCCAGCGACCAGACCCACAUGUACCCGCUUUUGGCGGUUGAUGACCCUGAUGAGGCGUUUCCACCUUUUCAGGAACCCCCUCUUCCUGACUACUCCUCUUGGCCACUCCAGGUGUAGCACUUGGAGUGGCCUCCUUUUUGUCCUUGCUUAUUUAUCUCGCUUCGCUGCAUACUUGAGGGGGCUUCUUGUUUUCGUUAUAUCCUCCUCGUUUCUGCUAUAGUUUUCACGUCUUAAAAGACGUGAAGAGGGGGACUCAAAAAAUUUGGUUCCUACCAAAUUGUUUGGUUGCUUCAUAUUUUAGUUCUAUUGUUCACGUCUAAUAGAUGUGAAGAGGGGGAUUUGUAAUAUAUGCAUAUUCAUACACAUAGCUCAUAUAUCAAGCACAUAUAUUUAGGUGGCUUUAGUGCCCUCAGGCUGCUUUAAGAGCCUGUUUGUGACCAUAGGAUUAAAGCUUGCACAACACACACACCCAGCCAUAAACUGCCCCUCUCAGUUCCCCUUAUCUCACGACUCCGGGACACACAGACAUUUCGUCGCACGAACACACACACCUCACUCCCCUCGCUACUGGUCGGGUGCCCAGAGCAGGGGACUCUGCUGUGCACCAAUGGGGCUCCUGCUCUGGCUAGAGCAGGUCCGCCUCCAACUCUUCAGGACCAGUCAGAAGACCAACACGACAAGACUCUACCUACAUUAUUCCAUGUAUAAAAUCUGCUGUAAUCUCUGUUCAGGACCCUUUUCAGCUGACUCCUUACUGAGUCAUAUGACUAGGUCCGUGCACGCUAAAACUGCAGGACAAGAUAUCUUUUGACUCAAUAAACUGCCUUUUGUUACAACUGAAAUCCACUCUGUCCAGCGUCCGUGAUUUGUUCUCACUCUCCAGUAUUUGAACAUCAACACUGGCUAACUCAUUGAUCCAGUUUUGUAAAAUACCAAUCUGAUAGGUAGCUAGUUAACUAGCUAUCUAGUGCUGUAGCAACUAGCUACUUUAGCAACUCUUCUCAUUUUAACCAAAUUGUUGUCUAGCUGGUGUGGUAACUGGAUCCACAAAUUGAUGUUACACCUUCAAUCAAGUGACUAAGUAUACUGAGUUUUCGUGGCGUGUCGGGUGACAUUCAUUGUUGGCAUUGUUGGUAGGAUGGGCUAACUAACUUAGGCUGCAUUUAGACAGGCAACCCAGUUCUGAUCUUUAUUUUAUGUGAUGUGAUUGGUUAAAAGACCAAUUAGUGGAAAAUGUAUCAGAAUUGGGCUACCAGUGUGAACAGAUUUUUCAAACAAAAGGCACAUUCAGAAGGAAGUAACAUUUUGGAACAUUCAGAUAGAAAUGUGCUUGUUAUGUAGAACAAACAUCCCUCUCUGGCAUGUAGAAUAAGGAAUCACGCCUGCUCUAUUCAUGGUAUUUCUAUCUGCAACGUUUAAGAACAUAUUUUGGCAAAUGAACAUGGCCAAAGUAGUGACUGCUAGCUAGAACCAAUGACGACAUACGUUAGCUGUUCCUCUGUGCAAAUGCGAAAGUGGUUAUGUUUUGAUACAAAGUAACAGUAAACCAAUAAAGUAAUGUUAACAUGACGUACUCUUUUUGGCAAUCCAGAAUCUGAUAUAUUGGCUGCAGAUACUGAGACAGAGGGGCGCUGUUUCUCUCGCUUGGAUGCUUUUUCCUAUGAGAUAGAUUCAGCUACUUACGAAUUGGAGCAAAAUGUAAAAUUAUUUCUUUAUUUGUUUUCUUUUUUCUUGUUCACAUUUUUGGGGAAGCAUGGCUUCCCUUGGCACCCAUGAAUACACCCACUGCAGUAGGUCUAAUGACAAUGGCCAAAUGUCCUUACACUGAUGGUGUUUGUAACAGAUGUUUCUUUCCAUUAAUCAGGUGGUUUGGAUGCUGAAAUUAUUUUGGAAUGGAUGAAAGUGCUGCAGGUAGCCUACUUUUUGAAGUGAUUUGUUCAACAAUCAGAUGAAAACAUCAUGACUGGUUGUGUUCAUGCCACAUUAAAAUGUAAUACAUUGUUACCGUUAAAUGACAUCUUAACUAUUAGGCACAAUAGGGGCUCCCCAAAUGUCAAGGUACAAUUUGCACUCUGCUAACAUACUUUGAAUAAGGGCACAUAUACACUAAUGUACACACAUCCCUUUCGAUAUCGGACGGAUUUGUAAACACGUGGAAUCUGUGCAUGUUUUUAGAAAAGCUAACCAUCUCUUCCUACUGUGUUUUGGAGGGAAGGGGUGCAGUAAUUUCUAUCCUUUUCACAUACUUCACCUUGUUUCAAUUGUGCAAGGUUUUGAGACAGGUGUGCAAUUCCUAGUGCUAAGCGAUUAACCAAAACGUUGGUUAUUUUUUGUUGAAUUGACCAACAUCAGUUCAAUUAUUUGAAUUCCAUUUUGUUCAGUUUUUUUCUGUGAACACAAUGCCACAUUGAGCUCCAGUUUCAUGAGAGAUAAAUUAGAUCAUAACCAAACUGUGCAAUGUAGUAGGGAGUUGUUGUUUCUAACAGGCCACUGUUCUACAUAGUUUAGAGCUGAGUUUUUUAAAAUAAUAACUACAAUAACCAUAAUCCAUUAUGCGGCUACUUGUCCGGUCUGUGUUACUUUUAUGCCUGCUACAUAAGAGACCGACGAAUGCUGUGAUCAAGAGGGGAUACAUAGAGAGCAGUUGCUUUUCAAGGUAUUGGUACUCAGCAGUCAUAAAAGUAUACCUUGUAUACUUUGAAGAACUACUAAAAUUGUGAUUUUGUCAGACAGCAUAGGCAGCAGCUCUAUAGAAAUGAGAUGAUAACUUGGAGUAAAAUAAUAAAAUCAUCAAAUAAACCAAAUGUAACUGACACAACAACUGAAAUAUUUUAUUAAAGUAAUGUGAAUAAACUGAUGGUUAAUUAGUGAUUAAGGAGUCAUGGGCUGUCACUACCAUCAUGGGACUUUUAAUAAUUGUUUUAUUCUGUGUUGUUACAGUGUUCAACCCACAUAAUGCAUUUAAUGUUUAAAAAAAUAAUUAAAACAGAAAAUCGUGAGAAUUGUUUUAUAAUCGAACUGAAACCGGACUGACCUCAAAAUCUACUAUUUGCUCAACACUAGCAAUUCCAAAGGAGGAAGGAUAUGGAAGUGGAAAUGUUGGGAGAAUAUCACAGGCAGGCCCUCUUGUUAUUGCCAAACUCAGUACUCUUUUCUUGCUCUGACCAGGAUACAUUCAUCAAUAGCCAUUGGAGGAGGACUCCCAGCUAGCACAUUUGGUUCCUUGGAAGUUGUGGGAACAUAUGUUUUUGGUUUCCCAUUGGUUUAACGUUCUGAGAACUGAAGUGAAAAUGUUGCCUGUUCUGGGAAAGUACACUUUUAGGUUGCAGGGCGGUUCUGAGAAUGUUUUACUAUGUAUGGUUCCCUGACGGUGUUCCUGGGAGGUUUUAUUAACAUUCUGAGAAUGGAAAUUAUAGGUUAUUUUAAGGUAAUUAAAUACCGUUCUGCGAACAUGUUUCAAUUAGACUUUUAAUAACAUUUUGUCUUAACUCAUUUGAACUCAAAGCACAGAAAACACAAUUAAUUUGCUUAAGCCGGAAGUGCUAUUUCUUAUGCAAAUGACCAGCUUACUGCUAUUACAUUGCUAUAACUGAGACAACGUAUUUUCACAGUGAAACAUGUUAGGUCCCAUACAGGAUAGCUUCCACACCCACACACACAGCACACACACACACUAACUGCCGAGGACACACAGAUAAGACAUACACCCACACAUUGGGAGGAAGAGACACAGCCUUUACUUGCAGACACAAGCACACACACACAAUCUCCUUCCUAGCCGAACAUUGUGUGACAGAACGGCUCGACGAGACCCGGAGGAACGACGGACGGCUCAACAGGACCAAUCCAAGAAGACAACACCUCAACUGUGGCCAACCAAAAGACCGGGACUUCCAGACUCAACCCACUUUCUGUACUGUACAUAACAUGCUUGCAAUCUGUUAUCGGGGCUUCUUUCUGCUGGUUCCUUGUGAGCCAAAUGAAUGAGCCCGUAUACGUUGUACCAGAUAUCUUUACUCUGAAUAAACUGUCGCUUGUCAUACAAUUUA
Molecule: long non-coding RNA, 8376 nt
Organism: Oncorhynchus nerka (sockeye salmon)
Lineage: Eukaryota; Metazoa; Chordata; Actinopteri; Salmoniformes; Salmonidae
Exons: 2
Source: RefSeq, a predicted model, not a curated record